UCGAAAUAAAAACAUAAAUUCUGGGCGAUUUCAAAAUAAAUAAAAACUAAAAGGAUUAAAUUGCAACACGCGCCAAACAUAGAGGGACCAAAACAGUAAAUAAGCCGAAGCCCCGAAAACGCGGCGCAACAGUGGGCCAAAUUGGAACAAAAAUAAAAUUCUGGAGCUAAAUUAAAAAAUAAAAGGAAAAAGCGAAAUAGGACUAAAUUGAAACACGCCACAAAUCAGAGGGACUGCACGCGUAAAUAACCCCCUUAGCGAAAACGCGCGAAUCCUCCCUCAGGGCCGGGUCACCGCCCGGGUCAGAGACCAAAACGACGCCGUUUUGGUCUCUGAACCCUAAACUCAAAAACGGCGCCGUUUUACAGGGUAUUUAAACCCAUUUUUACAUGAAAAAAAAAAACACUUCAGCCGUUUUUAAAAAAAAAAAUAAAAGGGGAGCCCCUUUUCCCCCUAAGAAAUCCGGCCAUGUGGGGUUCCUUGGCCCUUGUUGCGCCGCCGCUCGGCUCGCCGCACCGCCACCACCUCCGACGGCCGACGAACACCAGAUCGGCUAAUUAAACCCCGUCCCGGUACUUGAUGGUGCAAGUGUGGUGAUGGCGAUGGGACGUGCGCGGCGGCCAGCAGAGCGGCGGCGGCAGUAGAGGCGACGCCGAAGUCAGAAGACAGAGAGCCCUAGGUGCGGCGCACCUAGGGUUUUGUUUAUUUUUGUUCUUUUGUGAUUUGGGCUAUUAUGGCUUGUUUUUGGGCAUUGGGCUUGGUUUAAUUGUAAUUGGGCUGAUGGGGUUUUUAGAUUAGGUGGGUUUGGUACUGAAAUUUUGGGUAGUGGGCCCGGGCAAUAUAUUGGGCUAUACAUACGGUUUUGAUUCAUUUUCAUCUAGCCCAAACCUAAAAUAAAAACAACCAUUACCCAAUCCAACUACCCCUAAAAUAUAA
Molecule: long non-coding RNA, 936 nt
Organism: Gossypium raimondii (Peruvian cotton)
Lineage: Eukaryota; Viridiplantae; Streptophyta; Magnoliopsida; Malvales; Malvaceae
Exons: 2
Source: RefSeq, a predicted model, not a curated record